AUUGAACGCUGGCUGCAGGCCUAACACAUGCAAGUCGAGCGCGAAAGGCCUUCGGGCUGAGUAGAGCGGCGGACGGGUGAGUAACGCGUAGGAAUCUACCUGGUAGUGGGGGACAACUUGGGGAAACUCAAGCUAAUACCGCAUACGCCCUAUGGGGGAAAGUGGGGGACCUUCGGGCCUCACGCUAUCAGAUGAGCCUGCGUAGGAUUAGCUAGUUGGUGAGGUAAAGGCUCACCAAGGCGACGAUCCUUAGCUGGUCUGAGAGGAUGAUCAGCCACACUGGGACUGAGACACGGCCCAGACUCCUACGGGAGGCAGCAGUGGGGAAUAUUGGACAAUGGGCGAAAGCCUGAUCCAGCAAUGCCGCGUGAGUGAUGAAGGCCUUAGGGUUGUAAAGCUCUUUUACCAGGGAUGAUAAUGACAGUACCUGGAGAAUAAGCUCCGGCUAACUCCGUG
RNAcentral lists this ribosomal RNA (456 nucleotides) under uncultured bacterium. Its description in RNAcentral is "bacterial SSU rRNA". It matches the Rfam family "Bacterial small subunit ribosomal RNA", at positions 30 to 507 of the family's 1533-position model. The record is from RNAcentral.